Molecule: transfer RNA, 75 nt
Filed under: Roseibacillus sp.
Lineage: Bacteria; Pseudomonadati; Verrucomicrobiota; Verrucomicrobiia; Verrucomicrobiales; Verrucomicrobiaceae
Also listed under: 4 other names
Description: tRNA-Val
Rfam family: tRNA
About the family: Transfer RNA (tRNA) molecules are approximately 80 nucleotides in length. Their secondary structure includes four short double-helical elements and three loops (D, anti-codon, and T loops).
Source: RNAcentral
GCGCGGUUAGCUCAGGGGUAGAGCACUACCUUGACACGGUAGGGGUCACUGGUUCAAAUCCAGUAUCGCGCACCA